GAUGAACGCUGGCGGCGUGCUUAACACAUGCAAGUCGAGCGAAGCGAUUUUAAGGAAGCCUUCGGGUGGAAUUAAAAUUGACUUAGCGGCGGACGGGUGAGUAACGCGUGGGUAACCUGCCUCAUACAGGGGGAUAACAGUUAGAAAUGACUGCUAAUACCGCAUAAGCGCACAGUGCUGCAUAGCACAGUGUGAAAAACUCCGGUGGUAUGAGAUGGACCCGCGUCUGAUUAGGUAGUUGGUGAGGUAACGGCCCACCAAGCCGACGAUCAGUAGCCGACCUGAGAGGGUGACCGGCCACAUUGGGACUGAGACACGGCCCAAACGCCUACGGGAGGCAGCAGGGGGGAAGAUUGGACAAUGGGGGAAACCCUGAUCCAGCGACGCCGCGUGACUGAAGAAGUAUUUCGGUAUGUAAAGGUCUAUCAGCAGGGAAGAAAAUGACGGUACCUGACUAAGAAGCCCCGGCUAACUACGUGCCAGCCGCCGCAGUAA
This 495-nucleotide ribosomal RNA is filed under the name uncultured bacterium. RNAcentral's name for it is "partial 16S ribosomal RNA". It matches the Rfam family "Bacterial small subunit ribosomal RNA", at positions 28 to 523 of the family's 1533-position model. The record is from RNAcentral.